Molecule: ribosomal RNA, 253 nt
Filed under: uncultured bacterium
Lineage: Bacteria
Description: partial 16S ribosomal RNA
Rfam family: Bacterial small subunit ribosomal RNA
Source: RNAcentral
UACAGAGGGGGCAAGCGUUGUUCGGAAUUACUGGGCGUAAAGGGCGCGUAGGCGGACUGCUAAGUCGAACGUGAAAUCCCUGGGCUCAACCCAGGAACUGCGUCCGAUACUGGUUGGCUUGAAUCCGGGAGAGGGAUGUGGAAUUCCAGGUGUAGCGGUGAAAUGCGUAGAUAUCUGGAGGAACACCGGUGGCGAAGGCGACAUCCUGGACCGGUAUUGACGCUGAGGCGCGAAAGCCAGGGGAGCAAACGGG